AGGGGUGUGGUACAAUGGUAGCAUACCGGUCUCCAAAACCGUUGAUGGGAGUUCGAUCCUCUCCACCCCUGCCA
This 74-nucleotide transfer RNA is filed under the name Erysipelotrichaceae bacterium. RNAcentral describes it as "tRNA-Trp". It matches the Rfam family "tRNA". From Rfam's summary of the family: Transfer RNA (tRNA) molecules are approximately 80 nucleotides in length. Their secondary structure includes four short double-helical elements and three loops (D, anti-codon, and T loops). Lineage: Bacteria; Bacillati; Bacillota; Erysipelotrichia; Erysipelotrichales; Erysipelotrichaceae. RNAcentral also lists the same sequence under 1 other name. The record is from RNAcentral.